Molecule: long non-coding RNA, 266 nt
Filed under: Homo sapiens (human)
Lineage: Eukaryota; Metazoa; Chordata; Mammalia; Primates; Hominidae
Description: LHRI_LNC440.1
Source: RNAcentral
GUGCAGUGGCACCAUCUCGACUCACUGUAGCCUCCACCUGCCAUGUUCAAGCGAUUCACCUGCCUCAGCCUCCCCAGUAGCUGGGACUACAGGGGUGCACCACCAUGCCUGGCUAAUUUUUGUAUUUUUAGUAAAGGCAGGGUUUCACCAUGUUGGCCAGGCUGGUCUCAAACUCCUGACAUCAGGUGAUCCACCUGCCUCGGCCUCCCAAAGUGCUGGGAUUACAACCAUGAGCCACUGCGCCCAGCCUGAAAUCAACUUUUCUA